Phyllopteryx taeniolatus (common seadragon) is the source of this 1433-nucleotide long non-coding RNA. RefSeq lists it as uncharacterized. NCBI's taxonomy places the organism in Eukaryota, Metazoa, Chordata, Actinopteri, Syngnathiformes, Syngnathidae. The record is from RefSeq and is a predicted model, not a curated record. The transcript is spliced from 9 exons.
UCUCUUCAACUUGUGCUCCUUUCAGCAGAUGCAUCCAUUUUUCAGUUAAGAGCAUGAAUAUUUCAAGGCUGAGCGACACAUCCAGUGAAGAAUGAAAAGGCAGGAGUACGGGAUGCUGAGGCUGGAUGUCCAGUGAGGUCGUUGUAUUCUCAGGGCUCUGAGUCGAUCCCAACAGGACUAUUCGGGUUGUUUCGCCCUUCAUCUGAGCAGGCUUCAUCAGUUCAUGUUCUUACGGUAGAGUCUCUCUGAAGCUCCGUUGCAACCUGCUGAUGACAAUCUGUGGCACUCUGAGCUCGGAGAUUGUUCAUUCUAAGAUCACCCUGUUUGAAGACUCAAAGACCUUCAGCUGGAUAUUUUCAGCGAUGCUACAGAAUCCUCUGUAGUUGAACCAUCACAGCCUACUGCAGCAUCAUCACCAAAAUCACACGUCACCAAUAUCACAGCUUUCACAUCCAGAGGACCAUUCAUCAUACUCAGGAAAUGAUUCAGAUGCUACCAUCACACUGCCAUCAACUAAAAAGAGGUGCCAGAGGCUCCACACAAAGAUGGGCCACGAUGAAGCAUGACAGAAUAAAUCUACCCACCCUUGAGGACUUGCACGCUGCCAGAACUAAGACAAGGGCGUGCAAAAUCCUCUCGGACCCUCCCCACCCUGGUCACCAGCUCUUCCAGCUCCUUCCCUCAGUAGGUGAAAAGUGUUCUGAGGACUCAUCCCAAGGGGAAAGUAGUACUUCUGGAGUUUGGAAAAACAAAAACAAUGUCUGCUGUAACCCACGGACUUAUGGGCAACACUUUGGUCACAGAGAUGAUAGAAUCAUAUGGAAGACUUCCACCAAAAUAUAUACGAAUAUCUUAUGCAAGAGGCAUUGUGGCACUGUUUCCUUAUCUUGAAGACUCAUUCUCAAGUAACGGAUAUAGCAUUGCAAUCUGUGUGGUGAGCAUCUGAUGCAGUGUUAUGUGAAGCACUGCACUUGGAAAUUAACACAGACGUGGCUGUAACCAAAUGGAUAAAAAGACCUGUUCAGUCAAGAAACACCUGACCUACAAUUCCAUUACAACAUGCUGGCAAUUUUUUUUUUGACCUGAGUUGGUUGUCACAUUUCUGUGGGGCCAAUUAUGUAUUACUCGUGCACUCACCGUAGUUGUCUCGCCAUGCUGCACUAUUUGCAUAUAUUGGCCACUCAUGCCAGAGUAGCAUCUGCUCCAUUUGCACACUGAUUGAGGAGUAUCUGUAACAUUUGCACAACCAACAUUGUCCCAGAUGAUCGCACUACUCGUCACUUUAAACCGCAUACACUCCUUGAAGUCUCGGCGCCCUUUGCAGUAUGGUCAUUGCACCGGACUAUUGCUAUAUUAGUCAUUCGAACUGCUUUAAGUGCGAGAGGACUUUUUGCACAAUUGUCAAAAAAAAAAAAAAAAAAGUACCAGCAUUA